UUAAGCGACUAAGCGUACACGGUGGAUGCCCUGGCAGUCAGAGGCGAUGAAGGACGUGCUAAUCUGCGAUAAGCGUCGGUAAGGUGAUAUGAACCGUUAUAACCGGCGAUUUCCGAAUGGGGAAACCCAGUGUGUUUCGACACACUAUCAUUAACUGAAUCCAUAGGUUAAUGAGGCGAACCGGGGGAACUGAAACAUCUAAGUACCCCGAGGAAAAGAAAUCAACCGAGAUUCCCCCAGUAGCGGCGAGCGAACGGGGAGCAGCCCAGAGCCUGAAUCAGUGUGUGUGUUAGUGGAAGCGUCUGGAAAGGCGCGCGAUACAGGGUGACAGCCCCGUACACAAAAAUGCACAUGCUGUGAGCUCGAUGAGUAGGGCGGGACACGUGGUAUCCUGUCUGAAUAUGGGGGGACCAUCCUCCAAGGCUAAAUACUCCUGACUGACCGAUAGUGAACCAGUACCGUGAGGGAAAGGCGAAAAGAACCCCGGCGAGGGGAGUGAAAAAGAACCUGAAACCGUGUACGUACAAGCAGUGGGAGCACGCUUAGGCGUGUGACUGCGUACCUUUUGUAUAAUGGGUCAGCGACUUAUAUUCUGUAGCAAGGUUAACCGAAUAGGGGAGCCGAAGGGAAACCGAGUCUUAACUGGGCGUUAAGUUGCAGGGUAUAGACCCGAAACCCGGUGAUCUAGCCAUGGGCAGGUUGAAGGUUGGGUAACACUAACUGGAGGACCGAACCGACUAAUGUUGAAAAAUUAGCGGAUGACUUGUGGCUGGGGGUGAAAGGCCAAUCAAACCGGGAGAUAGCUGGUUCUCCCCGAAAGCUAUUUAGGUAGCGCCUCGUGAAUUCAUCUCCGGGGGUAGAGCACUGUUUCGGCAAGGGGGUCAUCCCGACUUACCAACCCGAUGCAAACUGCGAAUACCGGAGAAUGUUAUCACGGGAGACACACGGCGGGUGCUAACGUCCGUCGUGAAGAGGGAAACAACCCAGACCGCCAGCUAAGGUCCCAAAGUCAUGGUUAAGUGGGAAACGAUGUGGGAAGGCCCAGACAGCCAGGAUGUUGGCUUAGAAGCAGCCAUCAUUUAAAGAAAGCGUAAUAGCUCACUGGUCGAGUCGGCCUGCGCGGAAGAUGUAACGGGGCUAAACCAUGCACCGAAGCUGCGGCAGCGACGCUUAUGCGUUGUUGGGUAGGGGAGCGUUCUGUAAGCCUGUGAAGGUGUGCUGUGAGGCAUGCUGGAGGUAUCAGAAGUGCGAAUGCUGACAUAAGUAACGAUAAAGCGGGUGAAAAGCCCGCUCGCCGGAAGACCAAGGGUUCCUGUCCAACGUUAAUCGGGGCAGGGUGAGUCGACCCCUAAGGCGAGGCCGAAAGGCGUAGUCGAUGGGAAACAGGUUAAUAUUCCUGUACUUGGUGUUACUGCGAAGGGGGGACGGAGAAGGCUAUGUUGGCCGGGCGACGGUUGUCCCGGUUUAAGCGUGUAGGCUGGUUUUCCAGGCAAAUCCGGAAAAUCAAGGCUGAGGCGUGAUGACGAGGCACUACGGUGCUGAAGCAACAAAUGCCCUGCUUCCAGGAAAAGCCUCUAAGCAUCAGGUAACAUCAAAUCGUACCCCAAACCGACACAGGUGGUCAGGUAGAGAAUACCAAGGCGCUUGAGAGAACUCGGGUGAAGGAACUAGGCAAAAUGGUGCCGUAACUUCGGGAGAAGGCACGCUGAUAUGUAGGUGAAGUCCCUCGCGGAUGGAGCUGAAAUCAGUCGAAGAUACCAGCUGGCUGCAACUGUUUAUUAAAAACACAGCACUGUGCAAACACGAAAGUGGACGUAUACGGUGUGACGCCUGCCCGGUGCCGGAAGGUUAAUUGAUGGGGUCAGCGCAAGCGAAGCUCUUGAUCGAAGCCCCGGUAAACGGCGGCCGUAACUAUAACGGUCCUAAGGUAGCGAAAUUCCUUGUCGGGUAAGUUCCGACCUGCACGAAUGGCGUAAUGAUGGCCAGGCUGUCUCCACCCGAGACUCAGUGAAAUUGAACUCGCUGUGAAGAUGCAGUGUACCCGCGGCAAGACGGAAAGACCCCGUGAACCUUUACUAUAGCUUGACACUGAACAUUGAGCCUUGAUGUGUAGGAUAGGUGGGAGGCUUAGAAGUGUGGACGCCAGUCUGCAUGGAGCCGACCUUGAAAUACCACCCUUUAAUGUUUGAUGUUCUAACGUUGACCCGUAAUCCGGGUUGCGGACAGUGUCUGGUGGGUAGUUUGACUGGGGCGGUCUCCUCCUAAAGAGUAACGGAGGAGCACGAAGGUUGGCUAAUCCUGGUCGGACAUCAGGAGGUUAGUGCAAUGGCAUAAGCCAGCUUGACUGCGAGCGUGACGGCGCGAGCAGGUGCGAAAGCAGGUCAUAGUGAUCCGGUGGUUCUGAAUGGAAGGGCCAUCGCUCAACGGAUAAAAGGUACUCCGGGGAUAACAGGCUGAUACCGCCCAAGAGUUCAUAUCGACGGCGGUGUUUGGCACCUCGAUGUCGGCUCAUCACAUCCUGGGGCUGAAGUAGGUCCCAAGGGUAUGGCUGUUCGCCAUUUAAAGUGGUACGCGAGCUGGGUUUAGAACGUCGUGAGACAGUUCGGUCCCUAUCUGCCGUGGGCGCUGGAGAACUGAGGGGGGCUGCUCCUAGUACGAGAGGACCGGAGUGGACGCAUCACUGGUGUUCGGGUUGUCAUGCCAAUGGCACUGCCCGGUAGCUAAAUGCGGAAGAGAU
Molecule: ribosomal RNA, 2737 nt
Filed under: Escherichia coli 5-172-05_S1_C3
Lineage: Bacteria; Pseudomonadati; Pseudomonadota; Gammaproteobacteria; Enterobacterales; Enterobacteriaceae
Description: bacterial LSU rRNA
Rfam family: Bacterial large subunit ribosomal RNA
Source: RNAcentral